This 405-nucleotide unclassified non-coding RNA is filed under the name soil metagenome. RNAcentral describes it as "partial contains 5.8S ribosomal RNA, internal transcribed spacer 2, and large subunit ribosomal RNA". The stretch from base 1 to 121 matches the Rfam family "5.8S ribosomal RNA", at positions 35 to 154 of the family's 154-position model. The record is from RNAcentral.
GAUGAAGAACGCAGCGAAAUGCGAUAAGUAAUGUGAAUUGCAGAAUUCAGUGAAUCAUCGAAUCUUUGAACGCACCUUGCGCCCUUUGGCCAUUCCGAAGGGCAUGCCUGUUUGAGUAUCAUGAACACCUCAACUCUUUAUGGUUUUCCAUGAUGAGCUUGGACUCUGGGGGUUUUGCUGGCUCACAGUCGGCUCCUCUAAAAUGAAUCAGCUUACCAGUGUUUGGUGGGUAUCAUGGGUGUGAUAACUAUCUACGCUUGUGGUUUUUCCACCAGGUAACCUUCAGCAGUGGAGGUUCGCUGGAGCUCAUAGAUGUCUCUCCUCGGUGAGGACAGCCCGUUGAAUGUUUGAUCUCAAAUCAGGUAGGACUACCCGCUGAACUUAAGCAUAUCAAUAAGCGGAGGA